GGUGUGAUGGCCGAGUGGUUAAGGCGACAGACUUAAGUUCUGUUGACGCAAGUCGCGCGAGUUCGAACCUCGCUCACAUCA
Non-coding RNA from Xylariales sp. No.14919, 81 nucleotides. NCBI's taxonomy places the organism in Eukaryota, Fungi, Ascomycota, Sordariomycetes, Xylariales. The record is from the annotation of a GenBank genome assembly.